CAGAAGAGCAUUUUCUUUGUCUCUCUCUCUUUUUUUUUUUUUUUUUUUCUGAAGAGGGAAAACUAUUCUCUCCUGAAUUAAUUCUUCAAAUUUGGCCUCAAGUUAGUAUUAAUUUCUCUAAGUGUUAUUCCUCUGGAAGCCUUUGUGUGCUUGAUAAACCCACCCUCCCUGAGCCAACAUCUGCUCUGUGGUCUGCCAGUAUGUCAGUCCCUCGUUGUGUCAGGGCACAGAACAGGAGGUCUUUGGACUGUGUGGGCCCUGUCACCAAGCACUCACGUGUCAUGGAACUUCUUAAGUUCCUGCGUCUUCUGGUUAAUCAGAAAUGGCUUUACCAUUUCUCUUUUUUAUAAUCUCGGUGGUGUUUUGGCAAAAAGAAGGAUAUUCCUUUCAUUUACUCACACCUCUGCAUCACAUUCCCUGCUUUGUAACUCUUUGAAAACUGUUUGUUUUACUCCAGGAUUUAAUAUCAGGUGCAUCUGUCUUUUUCUGUAAAGCUUCAGGUAGAUGUUGACCAACUGAAUGCUGGAAGCAGACUGCUUUCACUUCUUGAGGAAGAAGCACGGAGUGAAUCUGAAGGCUUCUGUUGCAAUGCAGUUUGUGUGUCCCUGAGCUGGCACAGCUAGAGCAGCCGAUGAAGCCCUACCUUGUUACCUCCAUACUCAGAAGUGUGCUAAGGAAUAUUUCUGGACUUUUUGGAAAUUGUGGGCCAUUUGAGGCAAAGGCAUUGUACUGUUGCAUGUUCAGGUUCCCAGCAAAGCAAGCAGAGAUUAAAGACUUCCAAAGCAGUUUUGGAAAAUAUAGAAGCAAAGAGCAAAAUAUGUUGACCAAAGUCAAUAUAUGCUUCUAGGUUAAUGGAACAGCCUGUGGUAGCUGUUGGGAGUGCACCUAGGUUGGCACGCAGCCUCCAGCAGAGGAGCCCAUUUGGUGUGGAAUCCUAUGCUCACCAACAACUAACUCAAGGCUGGCUCUGGUAAGAUGUGCUGUAAAAAUGCUCCCCUCUGAAGAGAACACCCUUGUUAUUUUAUUAAACUAGAUCAGAACACGUGACUGACUGAAGAGUGGCAGGGUCCAAGUAGUGUGCAAGGAGCACUGUUGUGAAUGGGAAUAAAAAAUGGCAGAUCUCCA
This 1125-nucleotide long non-coding RNA is filed under the name Phasianus colchicus (ring-necked pheasant). RNAcentral's name for it is "lncRNA (ENSPCLG00000002147.1)". Lineage: Eukaryota; Metazoa; Chordata; Aves; Galliformes; Phasianidae. The record is from RNAcentral.